RNAcentral lists this ribosomal RNA (414 nucleotides) under Haemaphysalis heinrichi. RNAcentral describes it as "partial large subunit ribosomal RNA". Lineage: Eukaryota; Metazoa; Arthropoda; Arachnida; Ixodida; Ixodidae. The record is from RNAcentral.
CUGCUCAAUGAUUUUUUAAAUUGCUGUGGUAUUUUGACUAUACAAAGGUAUUGUAACAAGGCUUUAAUUGAGCACUAAAAGAAUGGAUUUUCAAAAAAAUUCUUUCUUCACUUUAAAAAUUAAAGUUAUUUUUAUUUGUGAAGAAACAAUAAUAAAAAUUUAGGACAAGAAGACCCUAUGAAUUUUCAUAAAUUUUUAUAAAAAGAUAUAUAAAGAUUUAUUUAAUUGGGGCGAUUAAUAAAUAUGUUAAACUUUAUUAAAAUAAAUAUGAUCCAUUAAUAUUGAUUAAAUGAAAUAAAUACUCUAGGGAUAACAGCGUAAUAAUUUUAGAUAGAUCUUAUAGAAAAAAUAGUUUGCGACCUCGAUGUUGGAUUAGGAUUCUUAUUUAAUGAAGAAGUUAAAUAAAGAAGUUUG